Molecule: ribosomal RNA, 253 nt
Filed under: uncultured bacterium
Lineage: Bacteria
Description: partial 16S ribosomal RNA
Rfam family: Bacterial small subunit ribosomal RNA
Source: RNAcentral
UACAGAGGUCUCAAGCGUUGUUCGGAUUCAUUGGGCGUAAAGGGUGCGUAGGCGGCGCGGUAAGUCGGGUGUGAAAUCUCGGAGCUUAACUCCGAAACUGCAUUCGAUACUGCCGUGCUUGAGGACUGGAGAGGAGACUGGAAUUUACGGUGUAGCGGUGAAAUGCGUAGAUAUCGUAAGGAAGACCAGUGGGGAAGGCGGGUCUCUGGACAGUUCCUGACGCUGAGGCACGAAGGCCAGGGGAGCAAACGGG